Molecule: long non-coding RNA, 1715 nt
Filed under: Numida meleagris (helmeted guineafowl)
Lineage: Eukaryota; Metazoa; Chordata; Aves; Galliformes; Numididae
Description: lncRNA (ENSNMEG00000021603.1)
Source: RNAcentral
ACCUCUCACCGUCCCUCCAGUUUAACUGCUAUAUUUCCUAGGCAUUUGCACUAUUAAUUGUGCCAUUACAGUCAUUCAUUCUUCUCACUUCAGAGAAGAAAUGGCCCGACAAUAAAGCUGAAAGUCAAACUCGUUGCAUGUAACUUACAGUGUGACCAAAAGGCGUUGUACUGAGAAAUACGGGUACCUGAGCAGCAGGAAGUCACUGGGCACUCAGGUUUUGUUGUUCUGACUGCUCCAUUUGCGGCACCAAAACGCCAUCAUACCUCACGCUGAGAUGCGGGUGGUUCUUAUAAACUGUUUCUUUAACUGGUAAGGUUCAGAUAUUCAGAUUGAUUCCCUGCCAGCAACCAAGACACGCUUCUCUUCAGGUCUCCAAAAUGACCAAAUUCACCAAGGCCACAGCUCGCUGCCAUUUCCUCAGGUUCAUGGUGACUCCCACUGUCACCACAGCUGCGCAGACCUGACUACAGACCUGCAAGCGGAAGGAAAACCCGGCAUGCCUCUGGAAAUCACCCCCGUGAUUCACCGUGUGACAUUCCUCUGAGUAAGCACCAAGCUCAUGCCCAGCUUGAAGAUCGUUGUGGUUUAUGAAAUACAAAUACAUAAUGUACAUCCAAGACCACGAGUCAUGUCUGCAAUGUUCUCUGCAGCAUCUAUGUUGGUAUUUGCCAGCCAUGAAUUCCCCACCACCCUCAGUGAACAAUUAGGCUGAUGAUUACAGCUGCUGUGAGUCAUUUUGUCAGUUUGAGUGCUAAAGGUCUGUGGGAUGGAUUGAACGAUUCCAUUCCUACUAAUGAUCCAUGUGGGUGUGAACAUGCCACGUGAUGGAACGUCUGUGGUUUUGAGUCUUGGAAAUUACAGACAAGGCAUAGUUUGUAGUUAAAAGCAGUAUCUUCUAUCAGACCAACUGGCAGUCAGAAAAAGAUGUGACUUGAAGAGGGUAUCUGCAGAGAACCACAGACUCAUAAAAAUAAUGGGUUUGGAAGGGACCUCAAGUAGUCUGUAGUCCAGCCUCCUGCUCAAAGCUUGGCCAGCUGUGGGACCAGAUCUGGCUGAUCAGUGCUUUAUCCAGGUUAGUCUUGAAAGCCUUGAAGUCCCUUGCAGAAUUGUGUAAUCCAAAAUUAGGAGAUAGAUUGAUUUGUCCCAUUGUGUGUAUGGAUGUCGAUACUGCCUCUAACUAUAAAGUUAGAUGCAAUUCCCUUCACAAGCACCCCUGCUUCAUUCAGAUCAUAGUAUGGAUGUAUAUGUAGUAGGGGAACCUAAGGAGGCACACUGGCUAAAGUUAUUUUCAACAGCUUUUAUUCCAGAAGUUAGAUGACAUGUACUCAUUAAGGAAGGCGGACUGUAGAAGUAAAGAUUUGGUCUGACGGAUGAGAUAGGUCUGAAUUAUCAUUAGUUGUUUGUGCAGGUAAUUUGCAAGCUACUGAUGGACAAGUCUUAAACUUUCAAAUGUAUCUAGCUAAAAGAUAACUAAAAGUUUGAAACUGUUAGAUGUUCCUGGAUUUCUUCUCGAAGGCUUUAAAAGAGUGGAGUAAAAUGAGUUGUUCCACUAAGACCAAUGAACGUAUAUCUUGAUACUACAGGAAAACAUCAGGAAAUGCUAUUAGCUGGUGGAAUUCUUCUGAAUGGAAUCACACUUUGAUUUGUGUGGUUUUGAGGCUCUGUCCUGAAAGUAACAUCUUUUGGGCUUUCUAUUGAGUAAAUAUUUCAAU